GAAAGGUAGAAGGACUUACUCUUCGGAGUGAGAGCGUACACAGGUGCUGCAUGGCUGUCGUCAGCUCGUGUCGUGAGAUGUGGGUUAAGUCCGCAACGAGCGCAACCCUGCAUUCAGUUGCCAUCGGUAAGGCCGGGCACUCUGGAUGGACUGCCGGCGACAAGCCGGAGGAAGUGGGGACGACGUCAAGUCAUCAUGGCCCUUAUGUCCAGGGCGACACACGUGCUACAAUGGCCGGCACAACGGGAAGCGAAGGGGCGACCCUGAGCGGAUCCCACAAAAGCCGGUCUCAGUUCGGAUUGCAGUCUGCAACUCGACUGCAUGAAGUUGGAAUCGCUAGUAAUCGUGGAUCAGCCAAGCCGCGGUGAAUACGUUCCCGGGCCUU
RNAcentral lists this ribosomal RNA (385 nucleotides) under uncultured Thermovirga sp. RNAcentral's name for it is "bacterial SSU rRNA". It matches the Rfam family "Bacterial small subunit ribosomal RNA", at positions 995 to 1382 of the family's 1533-position model. The record is from RNAcentral. Lineage: Bacteria; Thermotogati; Synergistota; Synergistia; Synergistales; Thermovirgaceae.